UGGGGUGUAGAUUGGCCUGAGCAAAUGUGGUGCCGGUGGAACGAAAGCCUUCGGAGGAGUUAGCGAAAUUCCAAUGUGUGCGGAUCGGCAAAAAAUGCGGAAUAACCCUUUAACCGUACAUUUGACAGAUACGCGCGCAUUGACUUUUUCGUAGAUUUUAUUGAGAUACAUGUGUGUGUCAAUUUUUGUGUCAUUUUGCCAAAGCGUACAGGUGUUACACUCAACAAUGUGUAUUUUCACCUUAGGGGACAAGAAAAAAUGGACUUUUUUCUCCUGCCAUGGGGGGGCGCUCUUUUGGGGAGUAAAAAUUCCUUCACAAAUGUGUUGAUGGCUGGACAUUGCAUCAUCCUAGAAAACUUGGAGGCCAGUGAGGGCAAAAAUAAAAAGUUAUAAGACUUUUAAAUAUGUGGAUCUUAGGGUUAUCUUUGGCGCCCCCUAGAACCUAAACCGUGGGGUGCAGCGUCAUGAUUUGAAUAACUUUUAAUGGCCAUGGGGUGUAGAUUGGCCUGAGCAAAUGUGGUGCCGGUGGAACGAAAGCCUUCGGAGGAGUUAGCGAAAUUCCAAUGUGUGCGGAUCGGCAAAAAAUGCGAAAUAACCCUUUAACCGUACAUUUGACAGAUACGCCCGCACUGACUUUUUUGUAGAUCUUAUUGAGAUACAUGUGUGUGUCAAUUUUUGUGUCAUUUUGACAAAGCGUACAGGCGUGACAGUCAAUAGUGUGAAUUUUCACCUUAGGGGGCGCUAUGGAGCCAUUUUGCAUUUUCUUGUUUGGGCGACUUCGGAAUAUCAAAUUUUUCACCAGGCCCGGUCGUCCUGCCAAAUUUCAUGAGUUUUCGCCAGUGGGAAGUGGGCCAUUUUCCAGUUUAAAGGGGAGGAAAAAUAAUAAUAAUAACAAAAGAAGGAAACUACAGGAACAAGAGGGCUCUCGCAGCUGCUUAGCAGCUACGCUCGGGCCCUAAAGAAAGAAAGAAACAAAGAAAAACCACUUGGGGAAUAAUAGGGCCUACGCCCGGCUGCUCUGCAGCUGGCUCGGGCCCUAACUAGGGCCCCGUUGGGGCACUGGCGGGCCCGAGCCGUGUCGCGCCCCCUCCCCCCCCCCAACACGCUGCCUCCCCGUCCCAUUCGCGUCCUCUGGCCAUCGCCCUCUCUGGUAACGCCCAUCACUGCAAAGACCCUUUUCCUUCAUCGGCGUUUGCUGUUCUUCCUGCCAGUGCGUGUUGCUUUCACUUACACUUGCCACAGCCAACCUCGUGAGUGCCUAGCCUAUUGGAUAUCACUGUCAUCUACACAGGACAGUCCUUACCUUUCUAUUAAUACUUUGUUUUUUAAUUUCACAUUAAUUUCCAUAUUGUAUAAAGGACUGGAAAAGACUUGAGCCCCUGCCCCUGUAUAAUCAUGUGCACGUCCCUGUUCUGGCUCUAAGGUGAAUCUUCACUGCUCAUGUUCUCCUCAGAAGCAGUCACCUCACUCCCCUCAGGUUACUGUACACACGCAGCAACUGCAUGCUUCAGGUUUAGAUAGCGCUUCAUGGUUGUCUUUUGGAGAAAUGAGCAGUCAAGUUGUGUUUGAAAUUAGAUUUUUUUCAGGGGCAAAAGGAGCCUCUGCAUUCUUGUCAAAUAUGUAAACAGCAUGUUUUUGCAGGUGCUAAAAAACAGACUCUGAGUGUGUGUGUGUGUGUGUGUGUGUGUGUGUGUGUGUGUGUGUGUGUGUGUGUGUGUGUGUGUGUGUGUGUGUGUGUGUGUGUAUCCUGCAGUACUCUGAGAAGAAUAAGCAUAUUUCUGAGGUGAAUUUUGAAGAUUCAUCUGAGAGUCAGGAGGGCUGAUCAUUCCCUUUUCCUUCAGAUGUCUGUCUAUGUCUGUUUUUGUGUAAUAAUGAAAGAAUCCUAACUCAAAAAGGCUCUGUUGAUGUUUUUUUUUGUUGUUCAUUCAUAUUCAAACCACUAUUUUAUAUCACUGCUAAUACGCCAAGACCAUUUUAUGGUAUUUAGCUUUAUUAUUUCUAUGCAUUUUGCAAGGACAGAAACCAAGGCCUUCACUAAAAUUUCCAUAAACUUUAGGAAAGGACCUCUGGUUGUUUAAGGGGGUCAUUACUGCAAAAACAUAUUCUUCCUAAAUUUUGAAGGUCAAACCUUAGAUCCAUUAGGUUUAAAUAGAAAAAGCAUUAAAAUAUGUUAGGAUUAUAGCAUAUGACAAAUGUGUGCCUCUCAGUGGCCAUAACUACUUUGUCUGCUGGCUCUGCAGUCGAUUGACGCUCCCCAGUGUUCAAGUCACAUGACAUAUUUAACCGGAUGUAGCUGCAAGACAGAGCCUCGUUGACUCUCCGUUUCAACUUAUCUCCAAAGUGAGGACCUUAAACUAUAUACCAGUUUUUAAAUUGUGUUGAUAGGCCAAAUAAAACCAGAGUUAUGAUAAAUUAUGUCUGCGAUACUUUUUUUCUGCUUAUUUGAUCACGUUCGGCGCUCGAUCGCGCUGUAUGAGACAGGAAAACAUAGCAUGCAGACAUUAGCGACAGGUCUUACAGGCGAAAAAGGGUUGCCAAAAGAAAAAAAAAACACACCACAACAUCUCUCCUAUUGGUGGAAAACUUCACCACAACAACCAAUCCAAAAUUAUAUGGUGACUGAUUGACAAGGGGCGGGCGCUUACCUUCUUCCUGCAACAUGAGAAGGGAGGGAGGGACUCUCAGCAGGGAUGCAGUCUGGGACACGUAGUUGCAAACCUAGCGACUUUGUUGUUGGAUUCAAUGACUUUUCAGACCCCCCUUACGACUUUUUUUUUUUAGAAAGAAAGGGAAUUUUAUCAACUUCUUCUGGAGUUCAGAGACUCUGACAUGAAGCAGGCUUUCCUUACUGAGGAGUUGGCAACGCUGCUAAGGGUGCAGAGCCACACAUGCGCUCCGAGCUCUGCAUGGGAGACUGAAGCUGACAGAGCUGCAGCAGUUAGCAGGUUUCACCCUCAGAGACCACCAGGGGUUCAUGUUGAGGCAUUUUCAGUUUUUUUUUUUUUUUUUUUUUGCCAUGACACUGUCAGCACAAUCUGCAGUUACACUAACAAAAAUGCUGGACAAAACAAAGAAUUAUGGAAAAAAUACACAUGGACUAACAUAGAGGAGGAUCUACACAAGUUUUUUACAUCAUGUUUUACAUCAUGCAUCAUUUACAUCAUGUUUUUUUGUAGUGGCAUAAAUAAAAAGUGACAUUUGUGAGACUAUACAGUGUUUUGUAAAUAAUUUUACAAAGAACGCCUGGGCCAUUGCCUGCAUUUUGAUGUAAAUAGAGGUAAAUUACUAUGUUCUUUGUUAAAAAUUUGCAUAUGUUUUGAAGUUUACAAUUUUUAUUUGAAGUUUAAGUUUUAAAAACAGUUCAUCACACAUAUUUGUGGUUUUCACAGUAAAAAUUUUACUUUUUUCCACUCGGAUUUUAUGUUUUGUGUGUGAAUUUGGGUCCAUUGUGUAAAUACAGUAUGUCAAAAUGAUAAAAUAACUGUAAAUUAACACAGGUGAGGUUGUGCUGAAAAGAAUGAUACCAGGCAAGGCAAGGUAAAAAAAUUUUAAGAGGAAAUAUAAAGGUAAAAUCUAAAGUAGUCAAAAACGGCCAAUAGUGACCCCCAGACUCCAUAGACAAGUCCCUUUGGCGCCACUCAGUGGGCAAAACUACUUUGUCUGCUGUAAUGUAUAUUUGGGUCAUCUUUGGCGCCCCCUAGAACGUAAACCGUGAGGUGCAGCGUCAUGAUUUUUACAACUUUUAAUGGCCAUGGGGUGUAGAUUGGCCUGAGCAAAUUUGGUGCCGGUGGAACGAAAGCCUUCGGAGGAGUUAGCGAAAUUCCAAUGUGUGCGGAUCGGCAAAAAAUGCGAAAUAGCUCUUUAACCGUACAUUAUACAGAUACGCGCUCUUUGACUUUUUCGUAGAUCUUAUUGAGAUACACGUGUGUGUCAAAUUUUGUGUCAAUAUGACAAAGCGUUCAGGCGUGACACUCAACAAUGUGUAUUUUCACCUUAGGGGACAAGAAAAAAUGGACUUUUUUCUCCUGCCAUGGGGGGGCGCUCUUUUGGGGAGUAAAAAUUCCUUCACAAAUGUGUUGAUGGCUGGACAUUGCAUCAUCCUUGAAAAAUUGGAGGCCAGUGAGGGCAAAAAUAAAAAGUUAUAAGACUUUUAAAUAUGUGGAUUUUAGGGUUAUCUUUGGCGCCCCCUAGAACCUAAACCGUGGGGUGCAGCGUCAUGAUUUGAAUAACUUUUAAUGGCCAUGGGGUGUAGAUUGGCCUGAGCAAAUGUGGUGCUGGUGGAACGAAAGUCUUCAGAGGAGUUAGCGAAAUUCCAAUGUGUGGGGAUCUGCAAAAAAUGCGCAAUAACCCUUUAACCGUACAUUUGACAGAUACGCCCGCACUGACUUUUUUGUAGAUCUUAUUGAGAUACAUGUGUGUGUCAAUUUUUGUGUCAUUUUGACAAAGCGUACAGGCAUGACAGUCAAUAGUGUGAAUUUUCACCUUAGGGGGCGCUAUGGAGCCAUUUUGCAUUUUAUUGUUUGGGCGACUUAAGAAUAUCGAAUUUUUCACCAGGCCCGGUCGUCCUGCCAAAUUUCAUGAGUUUUCGCCAGUGGGAAGUGGGCCAUUUUCCAGUUUAAAGCGGAGGAAAAAUAAUAACUAGGGCCCCGGUGGGGCACUGGCGGGCCCAAGCCGUGUCGCGCCGCCCCCAGCGCGACCGCCUACCCCUCCCGAUCGCGUCACACUCAAGGUCCAAAGAUGGUGUGCGCACUUGUCUGUGGUCAUUUACCAUUAUAAUGAAUGGGAGGCGCGGUUUCUACCAAAAUGCUCGCUGCAGACAAACUCCAUGUCCUUUUUGAAAAAAGUCUGGACCAUGAGUGAGGGCACAAACACAGCUUCGAUAUAUCCAAAUGGCAAGUUGCUC
Molecule: long non-coding RNA, 4903 nt
Filed under: Xyrichtys novacula (pearly razorfish)
Lineage: Eukaryota; Metazoa; Chordata; Actinopteri; Labriformes; Labridae
Source: RNAcentral